UGCGCAGGCGGUUUGUUAAGACAGGUGUGAAAUCCCCGGGCUUAACCUGGGAACUGCGCUUGUUACUGGCAGACUUGAGUGUGGCAGAGGGGGGUGGAAUUCCAGGUGUAGCAGUGAAAUGCGUAGAGAUCUGGAGGAACACCGAUGGCGAAGGCAGCCCCCUGGGCUAACACUGACGCUCAUGCACGAAAGCGUGGGGAGCAAACAGGAUUAGAUACCCUGGUAGUCCACGCCCUAAACUAUGUCAACUGGUUGUCGGGGAAGCAAUUCCUUGGUAACGAAGCUAACGCGUGAAGUUGACCGCCUGGGGAGUACGGCCGCAAGGUUAAA
This 330-nucleotide ribosomal RNA is filed under the name uncultured bacterium. Its description in RNAcentral is "bacterial SSU rRNA". It matches the Rfam family "Bacterial small subunit ribosomal RNA", at positions 568 to 898 of the family's 1533-position model. The record is from RNAcentral.